Molecule: ribosomal RNA, 1362 nt
Filed under: Triticum aestivum (bread wheat)
Lineage: Eukaryota; Viridiplantae; Streptophyta; Magnoliopsida; Poales; Poaceae
Description: partial small subunit ribosomal RNA
Source: RNAcentral
AUGGAGCCAGCGCCGGAGGGCCCAGGAUUCCAGAUUGAGGACGGGCACACGGUGCGGUGGGCCGGGUGGGAGUUCCACCUCAAGGCGGACGCGCGCGCCGGGCUGGUCGUGUCCGGCGCGACGGUGCAGGACCCGGCCACCGGGGCGCGGAGGGAGGUGAUGUACAAGGGCAUGGCGUCGGAGCUGUUCGUGCCCUACAUGGACCCGACGGAGGCGUGGUACUUCAAGACGUACAUGGACGCCGGCGAGUACGGGUUCGGCCUGCAGGCCAUGCCGCUGGUGCCGCUCAACGACUGCCCGCGGCACGCGCGGUACAUGGACGGCGUCUUCGUCGCCGCCGACGGCCGGCCGUACGUGCGGGAGAACAUGAUCUGCGUCUUCGAGCGGUACGCCGGCGACAUCGCGUGGCGGCACUCCGAGAGCCCCAUCACCGGCAUGGACGUAAGCUCCACUCCCCUCCCGCACACCCACACCUACCCUCCUCCCUGCUACGUAAUAAGGGAGUCCCGGCCGAAGGUGACGCUGGUGGCGCGCAUGGCGGCGUCGGUGGCCAACUACGACUACAUCGUCGACUGGGAGUUCCAGACCGACGGCCUCAUCCGCAUCAAGGUCGGGCUCAGCGUGAUCCUGAUGGUGAAGGGCACGCCCUACUCCCACAUGAACCAGGUCCGGCAAAAUGAGGAGAUGCACGGCACCCUCCUCUCCGAGAAUGUCAUCGGCGUCAUCCACGACCACUAUGUCACCUUCCGCCUUGACAUGGACAUUGACGGCGCCGACAACUCCUUCGUCCGCGUCGAGAUGGCCCGCCAGGACACCGCGCCCGGGGAGUCACCCCGGAGGAGCUACCUCAAGGCCACGCGCCACAUCGCGAGCACAGAGAAGGACGCUCGGGUCCGGCUAAAGCUCUACGAGCCGGCCGAGUUCCACGUCAUCAACCCGACAAAGAAGACACAUGUCGGGAACCCGGUGGGCUACAAGGUCGUCCCUGCAGGCACUGCGGGUAGCCUGCUGGACCCCGAGGACCCUCCGCAGAAGAGGGGUGCAUUCACAAACAACCAGAUUUGGGUCACGCCCUACAACAAGAGUGAAGAGUGGGCCGGUGGGCUGUUCGUGUACGAGAGCAAAGGCGAGGACACGCUGGCUACUUGGUCGGAGAGGGACCGUCCGAUCGAGAACAAGGACCUGGUGCUGUGGUACACGCUGGGGUUCCACCACAUCCCUUGUCAGGAGGACUUCCCCAUCAUGCCCACUGUGUCGUCCAGCUUCGACCUCAAGCCGGUCAACUUCUUCGAGAGCAACCGCAUCCUCAAGCAGCGGCCCACCAUGGAAAAGGACCUCCCCGUCUGUGCCGCUACCGCCUGA